Molecule: long non-coding RNA, 2386 nt
Organism: Macaca fascicularis (crab-eating macaque)
Lineage: Eukaryota; Metazoa; Chordata; Mammalia; Primates; Cercopithecidae
Source: Ensembl
UAGCUAGAAACAAUUUCACAAAGAGAACUACAAGCCAAAUUCCCCAAAACCAGACGAGCUACCCAAAAACAGCUAAAAGAGCGCACCCAUCUAUGUGGCAAAAUAGUGGGAAGAUUUCUGGGUAGAGGUGACAAGCCUACCGAGCCUGGUGAUAGCUGGUUAUCCAAGACAGAAUCUUAGUUCAACCUUAAGCUUACCUGCAGAACUACCUAAUCCCCCUGUAAGCUUAAUUGCUAGUCUAAAGAGGGACAGCUCUUUAGACACUAGGAAAAAACCUUACGGAGAGAGUAAAACCCCCAAUUACCAUAGUUGGCUUAAAAGCAGCCAUCAAUUAAGAAAGCGUUCAAGCUCAACACCAACCACCUCAAAAAUACCAAACACAUAACUGAACCCCUCACAACACAUUGGAUUAAUCUAUCACCCUAUAGAAGCAAUAAUGCUAGUAUAAGUAACAUGAAUAUUUUCUCCACUGCAUAAGCCUAAAUCGGACCGAAAGCCUCACCGAUACUUAACAGCCAGGCAUAGCAAGCACAAACAAGCCCAUGCUACCUUCACUGUUAACCCAACACAGGCAUGCCUCAAGGAAAGGUUAAAAAAAGUAAAAGGAACUCGGCAAACUCAAACCCCGCCUGUUUACCAAAAACAUCACCUCUAGCAUUACUAGUAUUAGAGGCACUGCCUACCCAGUGACACACGUUUAACGGCCGCGGUACCCUGACCGUGCAAAGGUAGCAUAAUCACUUGUUCUUUAAAUAGGGACUCGCAUGAAUGGCACCACGAGGGUUUAACUGUCUCUUACUUUUAACCAGUGAAAUUGACCUGUCCGUGAAGAGACGGACAUAAGAUAAUAAGACGAGAAGACCCUAUGGAGCUUUAAUCUAUUAAUGCAAUCAAAAACCAUACAAACGCACGGACCUUUAAACUACUACACCUGCAUUAAAAAUUUUGGUUGGGGCGACCUCGGAGCACAACAAAACCUCCGAACAACACAUGCUAAGACCACACAAGUCAAAGCGAGCUAACAUUCAUAAUUGAUCCAAUAAUUUGAUCAAAGGAACAAGUUACCCUAGGGAUAACAGCGCAAUUCUAUUCUAGAGUUCAUAUCGACAAUAGAGCUUACGACCUCGAUGUUGGAUCAGGACAUCCUAAUGGUGCAGCAGCUAUCAAGGGUUCGUUUGUUCAACGAUUAAAGUCCUACGUGAUCUGAGUUCAGACCGGAGCAAUCCAGGUCGGUUUCUAUCUAUUGUACAUUUCUCCCUGUACGAAAGGACAAGAGAAAUAAGGCCCACUUCAUAAAGCGCCUUCAUUACAUAAAUGACCUAGUCUCAAUUUAGCAAAGUAUCACACAUUCCACCCAAAAACAGGGUUUGUUAAGAUGGCAGAGCCCGGUAAUUGCAUAAAACUUAAAACUUUAUAACCAGAGGUUCAACUCCUCUUCUUAACAUCAUGACCACAGUAAACCUCUUACUUCUAAUUAUACCUACAUUAGCUGCCAUAGCAUUCCUCACACUCGUUGAAUGAAAGUUACUAGGCUACAUACAACUACGAAAGGGGCCCAAUGUUGUAGGUCCAUAUGGACUAUUACAACCCUUCGCUGAUGCAAUAAAACUUUUCACUAAAGAACCCCUAAAACCCUCAACAUCUACCACCACCCUCUAUAUUAUCGCACCCGCUCUAGCCUUCUUCAUCACCCUUCUCCUAUGAACCCCCCUCCCCAUACCCAACGCUCUAAUCAACUUCAACCUAGGACUCCUAUUCAUUCUAGCCAUGUUUAGCCUAAUUGUCUACUCCAUCCUAUGAUCAGGAUGAGCAUCAAACUCAAACUAUGCCCUAAUCGGAGCCCUACGAGCCGUCGCUCAAACAAUUUCAUACGAAGUCACCCUCACUAUUAUCCUACUAUCAGUCCUACUAAUAAGCUUAACCUUAAUACACUCAUUACAACGCAAGAACACCUAUGACUUCUCCUACCAUCAUGACCCCUAGCCAUAAUAUGAUUUACUUCCACGCUAGCAGAAACAAAUCGAACCCCCUUUGAUCUCAUAGAGGGCGAAUCAGAAUUAGUAUCAGGCUUUAACAUUGAAUACGCCGCAGGUCCAUUCGCCCUGUUCUUCAUAGCCGAAUACACAAACAUCAUCAUAAUAAACGCCCUAACAACCACAAUUUUCCUAGGCACAUUCUACCCCAUCCAUUCAGCAGAGCUAUUCACAACAUGCUUCACCACCAAAACACUCUUCCUAACUUCCCUAUUCCUAUGAAUCCGAGCAGCAUACCCCCGAUUCCGUUACGACCAACUUAUACACCUACUAUGAAAAAGUUUCCUCCCACUCACACUGGCACUACUCAUAUGAUCCACCUCAAUACCCAUCGCAAUUUCCAGCAUUCCCCC